This 396-nucleotide ribosomal RNA is filed under the name uncultured bacterium. RNAcentral's name for it is "partial 16S ribosomal RNA". It matches the Rfam family "Bacterial small subunit ribosomal RNA", at positions 523 to 918 of the family's 1533-position model. The record is from RNAcentral.
AUACGGAGGGUGCAAGCGUUAAUCGGAAUUACUGGGCGUAAAGCGCACGCAGGCGGUUUGUUAAGUCAGAUGUGAAAUCCCCGGGCUCAACCUGGGAACUGCAUCUGAUACUGGCAAGCUUGAGUCUCGUAGAGGGGGGUAGAAUUCCAGGUGUAGCGGUGAAAUGCGGAGAGAUCUCGAGGAAUACCGGUGGCGAAGGCGGCCCCCUGGACGAAGACUGACGCUCAGGUGCGAAAGCGUGGGGAGCAAACAGGAUUAGAUACCCUGGUAGUCCACGCCGUAAACGAUGUCGACUUGGAGGUUGUGCCCUUGAGGCGUGGCUUCCGGAGCUAACGCGUUAAGUCGACCGCCUGGGGAGUACGGCCGCAAGGUUAAAACUCAAAUGAAUUGACGGGG